This 8255-nucleotide long non-coding RNA is filed under the name Fragaria vesca (wild strawberry). RNAcentral's name for it is "long non-coding RNA (FVES_LNC001404)". The record is from RNAcentral. Lineage: Eukaryota; Viridiplantae; Streptophyta; Magnoliopsida; Rosales; Rosaceae.
CAGGUCUAGUAUGCGAAACAUGUCAUCCAAGCUUAGAAAAUCGAAUGGGUUUUAACAGGUCUGGAAUCAAAUGAGCUUUCAGUUACUGUUUUUUCAUCUUCUUCUCUAGAUCGGUAAUUUCGGUUAACAACCGACGCCAAACCGAUAUUUUCAGCAACCGACUGGUCGGGAUACCGACUUUUCGGAUCGGUUACGGUUUGGAAAUCUCUAUACCAAAGAAGAUUGGCUAGGUAGCUGGUUUGGAACUAAAGAGUCGGUUACCGUACCUGACACGACCCACCCCGAAUUUCACGUCCAACGCUCACGUCACACCAUAAUGCGGCUAUAUGCUACGCCAUUAAGGUGGACAGACACAUAUGGCUAGCUAGCAUUUAUAUACAUACUCUCUCAUAAAUACAUAUUUAUAUCCACCGAAAAUCCCAUUUUCGGUAACUCUCCAAGAGAAAUAAAAAUCGUCAAAUUAAAAUGACGUUAAAAUAUUCCGCAACAUUAAUUGUUCAACCAUGAACUAUAGCAUGCAUUUAUUUAAAAUAAACGUCCACUCACAAAUUAGGCCUAAGCCUGAUGUCGAUCUGGGGCCUCGUCUGCUCGAGCCUCCUCACGUCCUAGCUCAAGAGGGAGUGAGCUGAUUGGAGGGGUUGCUGCACGGGAGGAGGGCUACAAAACGAGCCAAGGAUCGCCGGUUUUGGUGGCCGGAGGAGGGAGUUCCGACGACCGGAAGUUCGGGGCAGUUUAACCUUUCGGGCGGCACCGCUCUCUCACGGCGGCGCUAGGGGGGCUGUCACCGGUCUAGAACGGUAGCUGGGUUGGAGACCGAUCGAUUGGGUCCGGUGCGGUAGUCUGGGGCGGCCGAACGGCGGCGGUCGGGCGGUCGGAAUUCCGGCAGGGAAAGGCUCGGGUGCGGGAGAGGAGAGAGAGAAUCGGGAGGGAGAGAGAAAUUUUUGGGCUUAGCCCAACCGGUUCCAACCCAUAUAUACCCAAUCCAAAUUUCAACACCCCAAAAAUAAUACCCCAAUAAAAAUUACCUUUUACUAGCAAAAAUUUACCAUUUUUACCGUCGUCAUAUUUUCUCCCACGAAUAAUUCCCCGAAAUUAAUCGUCCCUUAAAAUAUCUCUAGGGACCAUUUAAACUAUUACCUCAAUGACAGGGACGGUAAAAUUCUUAUUAUAAUCAAGCUAGUAAAUAAGGUAAAAAUUUAAGGGUCGGGAUGUGACAAUCCUCCCCUCCUUAUAAAAAUUUCGUUCUCGAAAUUGACAUACCUGUCAUCCGAAGAGAUAGGGAUACUGCUGCAUCAUUUGCUCCUCUGAUUCCCAAGUAGCUUCUUCUACUUGAUGACUCCUCCAAAGCACCUUGACAAGCGGGAUUGUCUUGUUCCUAAGCACUUGCUCCUUCCGGUCGAGAAUCUGAACCGGUUCCUCUUCAUAGGUCAAAUUCCUCGUCAAACUAAUCGGCUGCUCUUGCAGCACAUGAGAAGGAUCGGCAAUAUACUUGCGAAGCAUGGAUACAUGAAACACAUUAUGUAUCCUAGUUAACUCUGGAGGCAAGGCUAAUCGAUAAGCAAGUGAGCCAACUCGCUCUAUUAUCUCAUAAGGGCCAAUAUACCUCGGGCUAAGCUUCCCACGCUUCCCGAAACGCAUAACCCCUUUCCAAGGAGAUAAUUUCAAGAACACCCAAUCACCCACUUGAAAUUCAAGAUCUCUCCUACGGACAUCUGCAUAACUCUUCUGCCUACUUUGAUCAGUCUUGAGUCUAUCUUUAACCACUUUAAUCUUCUCAUUCGUAACAUGGAUUAACUCUGGGCCACAAAGCUCUUUUUCCCCUACUUCAUUCCAACACAAAGGCGUACGACACUGCCUCCCAUAAAGAGCCUCAAAGGGAGCCAUACCAAUGCUAGAAUGAUAGCUAUUAUUAUAGGCAAAUUCCAUCAAAGAUAGAUUUUUAUCCCAACUACCUCUGAACUGCAUGGCACAAGCCCUCAACAUAUCCUCCAAAGUCUGAAUAGUCCUCUCGGACUGCCCAUCAGUCUGAGGAUGAAAAGCAGUGCUGAAGAGUAAUUGGGUACCUAAAGCUGCCUGAAGAGCUCUCCAGAAUUUAGAAGCAAAUCGAGGAUCCCGAUCUGACACUAUUGAUUCAGGAACACCAUGAAGCCUCACAAUUUCAUUCACAUAAAGCUCCGCCAAUUUAUCCAAUUUAUACUUCUUUCCCACUGGCAAGAAAUGUGCAGACUUGGUGAGUCUAUCCACAAUCACCCAAAUACCAUCAUGCCCUUCACGGGUACGAGGUAAACUAAAAACAAAAUCCAUGGUGAUGUGGUCCCACUUCCACACUGGAAUAGGCAACGGCUCAAACAACCCAGAAGGCUUCUGCCUUUCAGCCUUGACUUGCUGACAAAUCAGACAUCUACUCACAUAAGCUGCAAUUUCCCUCUUCAUGUUUGGCCACUAAUAAUAAUCCUUCAAAAUCCGAUACAUUUUUGUGCUACCCGGAUGAGCAGCAUAUGCAGAGCUAUGAGCUUCCUCCAUAAUCUCACUCUUCAACUCUUCAUUUCUUUUUGGAACACAUAGCCGGUUCUUAAACAAUAGAGUCCCAUCUCUUCUAACUGAAAAAUGAUCGGCUGCGGCUCCAUUCGAAGCUCUUUCCAUCAAUCGAACUAUGGAAGGAUCAUUAUACUGUGCUUCCCGCACUCUAUCAACCAAAACUGGCCUCACAUGAAAACUGGCUAUCAAAGCACCAACCUCAUCCACUGCUAAAUCCACUCCUGUAGCUCGCAACUCACAAAGAAGCGGAACACGAACCAUCUUUAUAUGAGAUAAAGAUAUGGAGGGAUUUCGACUAAGAGCAUCAGCUACCACAUUAGCUUUUCCAGGAUGAUACUCAAUAGUGCAAUCAUAAUCAUUGAUUAACUUCAUCCAUCUUCUCUGUCUCAUAUUAAGCUCUCUUUGAGUGAACACAUACCGAAGACUCUUGUGAUCGGUAAAUAUCUGACACCUGGCUCCAUAAAGAUAGUGUCUCCACAACUUGAGAGCAAAAACUACUGCUGCAAGCUCCAGAUCAUGAGUAGGAUAAUUCCCCUCAUGCGGCUUCAAUUGCCUAGAAGCGUAGGCAAUAACUCGAUCAUGCUGCAUCAAAACUCCUCCUAGACCCCGUCUAGAAGCAUCACAAUAGACCACAUAUUCUCCACUAUCAUCCGGAAGUGCCAAAACAGGAGCACUUGUCAAGCAAUUCUUCAAUUCUUGAAAACUUUGCUCGCAUUGAUCUGACCAUUCAAACUUAACCCCCUUCCUGGUCAACUUUGUGAGAGGAGCAGCAAUCUUUGAAAAAUCUUUCACAAAGCGCCGAUAAUAACCUGCUAAUCCCAAGAAACUACGAAUCUCCGUCACAGUGGUGGGUCUUCUCUAAUUCCACACUGCUUCCACCUUUUGGGGAUCCACACUAACUCCUUCUGCAGAAAUCACAUGACCCAAAAACCCCAUUUUAUCUAGCCAAAACUCACACUUGCUAAACUUAGCAAAUAACUGCGACUUUUCCAAAGUCCGCAAUAUUAUUCUUAGAUGCUUGGCAUGCUCCUUCUCACUUCUUGAGUAAACCAAUAUGUCAUCUAUGAAUACGAUCACGAAACGAUCAAGGUAUGGACUAAACACCCUAUUCAUGAGAUCCAUGAACGCCGCGGGUGCAUUAGUAAGUCCAAAUGGCAUCACCACAAACUCAUAAUGACCAUAUCGUGACCGAAAAGCAGUCUUGGCUAUGUCCCCCUCUCAGAUCCGCAACUGAUGAUAACCCGAUCUCAAAUCAAUUUUAGAGAAAACAGAGGCACCCCUCAACUGAUCAAACAAANNNNNNNNNNNNNNNNNNNNUACCAACUCCUGCAAUUAAGUCUUCAACNCUUUCAAUUCCGCUGGAGCCAUUCUGUAAGGUGCCUGAGAGAUCGGCAUAGUUCCAGGAAGUAAUUCUAUAGAGAAGUCUAUCUCCCUUGCAGGAGGCAAACCAGGCAACUCCUCAGGAAAAACAUCUGGAAACUCCCUUACUACUGGAAUAUCUUCUAAUCCCACAACUCCCAUACUUGUAUCCACCACAUGAGCUAAAUAUGCCUGACAGCCUUUACUCAACAAUUUCCUUGCAGCAACAGCGGAAAUUAUGCAACUAGAAAUAACAUCUCUUUCCCCUUGGAAAGCAACCUCAAAACCAUCUGGACUUCGAAGCACCACUACUUUCUGAAAACAAUCUACCAUAGCUCUAUAUGCUUCCAAAAAGUCCAUUCCUAAGAUCACAUCAAACUCCACUAUAUCUAGAGGAAUUAAAUUAGCCUCAAAAUUAACUCCUUCCACUAAAAUUUCACAACCACUAAACACCCAAUUUAUUCUCAUCACCUCACCGGAUGGUAGAGACACAUGCCACUCGCCUGGAAGAGACGAUGAUGGCACAUUGGCAUGAAGGGCAAAUCUACUAGACAUGAAUGAAUGCGUGGCUCCGGGAUCAAUUAAAGUAAAAGCAGGCUGACCGAAAAUUAAUAACGUACCAAUGAUGACAUCUGGAGAAGUACGACCCUCCUGCUGGGUCAUAGCAUGCAGUCUAGCGCGAGUCAUGGGACGUCCACGCUGACCACUUCCCCGCUGAGAGCCACCUCUAACCGAAGCACUGCCCUGGGCACCACUACUAGAGCCUCCAGCUGAAGACUGACCAACAGGCUCAGUAGGGGUGGGAGUGGUCCUCUGAGCCAACAAUGGGCAAUCUCUCCUGAAGUGGUCCUGACCACCACACUCAAAGCACCCAGAAAACUGCUGCUGCUGCCCAUAUGAAAAAGUCUGGCUACCGGAUGACCCACCAUGGAAACUGCCACCCGAACCACACUGCCCAGACUGCUGCCUACCCAACUGACUCCUAGCAGGUCUCCUGUGACGUCCUCUAACCCUGAACCGAGAAUUAGAACCUGAUCCCCCACUACUGCCACUACCAGCUGAUGAACUUGAAGCGGAUGAUGAAGCAGCUUUCUUGGAUGGACCCUGACUGGGGCCACCGAAAUCUCGUGGCCGAGCACUAUAAAUCCCCAUAGACUCAAUGGCCAUGGCUGCAUGAACAGCGUCAGAGAAAGUCGGGUAAUAAACACCCGUCAUCUUAUCUGCAAACACUCCACCAAGUGCCCCAAUAAACAUCUCCAUCCUGGUCCUCUCAUCAGGAACCAGAUAUGACACAUGAUAGCUCAGGGAAGUGAAUCUCUCCUGGAACUCUAUAACACCUUCAUCAUCCCUCUUCUUCAUAUUUAGGAAAUCCGACUGAAUUCUGCUGCGGUGGGCAGGACUGAAAUACUGCCCCAAGAAAAACGUCUUAAACUGCUCCUACGACAUAUUCAGAGCAUCCUCAACAUUCCUGCUAGCGAGCGACCACCAGUGAUGUGCUGAAUCAUCCAGGAAAGUCACUGCCAUCUUCACCUUCCUUUCUUCUGGCAAAUCUGUGCUCGCAAAAGCCUUUUCCAUUUUGUCUACCCAAAUAUAAGCAUCGAGGGGUCCCUUGGCACCCUUGAACUCUCUUGCUCCAGCCUCAUAAACCUCUCUCCUCUUCACUGUAUGAGGGUGUGGAGCUCGAUCCAUAACAUCCCUCAGCAUAUUUCCAAUAUCAUCAACCAGUCCCCUGACCUCAUUGCCCUCAUCGACAUUGGUCGAAGUAGCCACACGGGGUUGCGGUGGGCGCCUAGGAGGCAUAGUACCUGAGGAAGAAGAAAUUCAGUAGUCCAUAAACAAGACUAACACAACAAUCACACAUACCCAAUAUCACAUAGCAUCAAAAGCAUAAAAUGCCAAUGAAUCCGCCGCGGUCGGAUCAUCACUCUAUAGACACUACGUGCUACUUAGGCAAAUAUGAUAGUGACAAGGAAGCAAGAAAAGGAAACCUAUAGCUCUGAUACCAACUGACACGACCCAUCCCGAAUUUCACCCUGAAACCCAGAGUAAGUCGUGCGGGGACCACCUCCAAGGAAAAUUUACUGAAAAGAUUGAGAAAAUCUCCCUUGAAAAUGGACAACCCUAACUCGAAAAUUCUAAAUUACACUCUUAAUACAACACGUCCAAACAUCACAUAAUUAUCCUUCAGAAAUUCUAAACAUAAUAUACAAUAAUCCCAAAGUAUUCAGAGCUACUAAACACUAGCGGAAGCAAGAAACACUAGUAGGUUAAACAGGUAACCUACUGAUGAAAACUAGAGGAAAUGCGGGUGACUAUGCCUCGCCUCCUACUAGAUCCAACCCGAACUCUGCAGACUGGGCAAUUUAAAACGAAAGGCCCAGGGGAAAACAUUUAAUAACGUUACAGUGAGUGGACAAAAAUAAAAUAAUAAAUAAAUUAUUUAUGUUUCCCCAAAUUAAUUUCUAAGGAGAAAAUCGAAUGCAUGCCGCAAGCGAUAAAACCUUUAUCUCAUAAAAUAUCGAGCCUCUUAGACUCUAAAAUAUAUGUAUGUAUUUACACUCGUCCAUACUCCCUAUAUAAAUUCAUGGGUCUAUAUAGGGCUACUACGCUCGCGUCCAACGCUCACGUCACGCCUUAAUGCGGUGCUACACUACGCCAUCAAGGUGGACAAACGGGUGUAUAAAUAUGUGUCCAUACCCCCUAUGUGAAUUAAACACUCAUAUAGGGCUACUACGCUCACGUUGGCCAUAAUGCGGCUAUAUGCUACGCCAUUAAGGUGGACAGACACAUAUGGCUAGCUAGCAUUUAUAUACAUACUCUCUCAUAAAUACAUAUUUAUAUCCACCGAAAAUCCCAUUUUCAGUAACUCUCCAAGAGAAAUAAAAAUCGUCAAAUUAAAAUGACGUUAAAAUAUUUCGCAACAUUAAUUGUUCAACCAUGAACUAUAGCAUGCAUUUAUUUAAAAUAAACGUCCACUCACAAAUUAGGCCUAAGCCUGAUGUCGAUCUGAGGCCUCGUCUGCUCGAGCCUCCUCACGUCCUAGCUCAAGAGGGAGUGAGCUGAUUGGAGGGGUUGCUACACGGGAGGAGGGCUACAAAACGAGCCAAGGAUCGCCGGUUUUGGUGGCCGGAGGAAGGAGUUCUGACGACCGGAAGUUCGGGGCAGUCUAACCUUUCGGGCGGCACCGCUCUCUCACGGCGGCGCUAGGGGGGCUGUCACCGGUCUAGAACGGUAGCUGGGUUGGAGACCGAUCGAUUGGGUCCGGUGCGGUGGUCUGGGGCGGCUGAACGGCGGCGGUCGGGCGGUCGGAAUUCAGGCAGGGAGAGGCUCGGGUGCGGGAGCGGGAGAGGAGAGAGAGAAUCGGGAGGGAGAGAGAAAUUUUUGGGCUUAGCCCAACCGGUUCCAUCCCACAUAUACCCAAUCCAAAUUUCAACACCCCAAUAAAAAUUACCUUUUACUAGCAAAAAUUUACUAUUUUUACCGUCGUCAUAUUUUCUCCCACGAAUAAUUCCCCGAAAUUAAUCGUCCCUUAAAAUAUCUCUAGGGACCAUUUAAACUAUUACCUCAAUGACAAGGACGGUAAAAUUCUUAUUAUAAUCAAGCUAGUAAAUAAGGUAAAAAUUUAAGGGUCGGGAUGUGACAGUACCGGUUCCAGCCCUAAGAACAUUCGUUUGAUGAUUGAUAAAUAAAAUUUGAGACACAAUCCUUGUUUUUUUUAAUAUUUAAGAGAAUAGUAUUCUUCAUGAUUCGAAUUAACUUUUCUUGAAAAUUGAUGUCCUUGAAAAUUAUUUCUUACAAUUUGAUCAAAAAAUGAAUGUCUAGUGACAUUUUAUAUGCAAAAUACAAAAAAUACAAAAAAUAAAGAAAAUUAAGAAAUCAAGGUCGGGAAUGGAGGUUUGCGUUAAAAAGAAAAAAUAAAAAAAUUAAAGAAUGGAAAUCGGGAAUGGAUGUUCACAUGCAAAAAGAAAAAAAAAAAUUGGAGAUAUAGUGAGUGAAUAAGAGGUAUAAAAACAAUGUUAUUUUAAAAAUUUGAAAGGAGGUCUAAUGAGAAAAUGUUUGUAUUUAAAAGUAAAAUGGAGGUAUAGAGAGGAUGAGAUGUAUACUGAGCAAAUUUGGAGGUCCCAAUAGCCGCACUCAAAGCAAAAUCCAUUUCAAUUUUGUCCACUCUCUCCGUAUAGGCUGUGUUACACUAUCACACUAUGUUCUUCCCAUGCAUCUUGGUGUUAUUGUAAAAACCCUACAAUAAGGUCCCUGCAAGAGCUACAUCUGAAAACGGAAAACCGAAUAUAAUCAAUCAGUUCAUUGGAGAUCAUGAAGAUCAUGGGAAUAGUCAUGGUGUUGGCAUGGUUUAAUUGUUU